This is a long non-coding RNA of Xenia sp. Carnegie-2017, 707 nucleotides long. RefSeq lists it as uncharacterized. The transcript has 4 exons. Lineage: Eukaryota; Metazoa; Cnidaria; Anthozoa; Malacalcyonacea; Xeniidae. The record is from RefSeq and is a predicted model, not a curated record.
AAUGUCAGUCCGGGUUCAAACUAUGUUUACAAGUUUCAUAUUUCUAUCUAUUUGCUUAAAUAUUACGGAGACUUUUUGGUCGUAUCAUUGUGCUGCUUAGCCAUUAUAACUGUUUAUUGAACUCGUUAAGGGAAGUUUUCUGUUUUUGCAAUUGAGAUAAUCUAUUAUAAUCAUCAUCACUAAGUAAGCUUUGACAUUCUACCGACAUGAAGUAUAACAAAACUGCUAACAUGGCGAUGUAUAAUUCAUUGUAAUACAAAUGCACGUUAUUUUCUUCCUAAAUCGUACGUUGACAAAGUUUUUAAGCUUCAAGAUGUAUAGAAAUGAAUGCUUGAAAGUUAUGUUUAGAGAAUAUUUGGGAUAAAAUUCCUUCAAAAUGACCUGAUGUUUUGUCCUCGUCAUGACCUCAAGAAAUAUCAUAUUUCUUCCUCGAAAUGUGCUCUCUUUUACAACCAAAAAUGGCAAUGUUCAAACGAAAUGAAGAUUUGCAGUUUAAUGCGAGAUGGCAUUGCAGAGCGUGGAGGUCUCCGUGUUGGUCAUAAAAUCAUAGAAAUGAAUAGAGAAAGUGUCGUUACAGCCUCUCAUCGUAUUGUUGAUGUUCUACAAACAACUAUUGGAGAGGUGAUGGUCACAUAUACUCUUUAAUCAAACCAUUUAUUCGUGGCGUUAGAAAGAUCAAAGAUGAAAUAAUGAAGAGUUACCGCAGC